Mauremys reevesii (Reeves's turtle) is the source of this 440-nucleotide long non-coding RNA. RefSeq lists it as uncharacterized. NCBI's taxonomy places the organism in Eukaryota, Metazoa, Chordata, Testudines, Geoemydidae. The record is from RefSeq and is a predicted model, not a curated record. The transcript is spliced from 3 exons.
GAGGACUAGAGCUUGGAGGUGUGUUGUGAGAUUUGAAAGAUCAGAGAACCAAAGUAAGGGAGACUCCCUCCCCCAACAUCUAAGGACUGAGGAUAACCCCACCCAAGGGGGAAGAGGUUUGCAGUUGGGAUGUCUCAGUCCCUCACACAACACCUGCACGCUUGAAUCUCCCAGCUUCGUCCCCCAAAGGUUCAGCUCUGUCAGGGCCUGGCUGGUGCUGAGAGCAGAGGAGAGAAACCCACAACAUACAGCUGAGAGUCUGCACCACUCCAACCUGCAUGAAAUGAAGAGAGAAUGGAAAACAAUUCAUUUCUGACCCAUGCACUGUGUUCCCCUCACAGAUGUCCAUGGGGCAGACACCAGCUACAGCCCCUGUGAAGCACUUUACAUAGAUGUCAUCAGAAAAUACACAGAGGAGACCAAAUAUUACUUACCCCAGC